AAGAGUAAGGGUGCUCAGCGCCCGACCUCCAACCCUCUGUUGUUAAAACUACCUUGUUGCUUUGGCGGGACCGCUCGGUCUCGAGCCGCCGGGGAUUCGUCCCAGGCGAGCGCCCGCCAGAGUUAAACCAAACUCUUGUUAAUCAUAACCGGUCGUCUGAGUAAAAAUUUUGAAUAAAUCA
This 181-nucleotide unclassified non-coding RNA is filed under the name uncultured Aureobasidium. RNAcentral describes it as "sequence contains ITS1". Lineage: Eukaryota; Fungi; Ascomycota; Dothideomycetes; Dothideales; Dothioraceae. The record is from RNAcentral.